CAGCAGCCGCGGGAAUACGUAGGGUGCAAGCGUUAAUCGGAAUUACUGGGCGUAAAGCGUGCGCAGGCGGUGUUGUAAGACUGAUGUGAAAUCCCCGGGCUCAACCUGGGAACUGCAUUGGUGACUGCAACGCUGGAGUGCGGCAGAGGGGGAUGGAAUUCCGCGUGUAGCAGUGAAAUGCGUAGAUAUCGUGAGGAAGACCAGUGGCGAAGGCGAUUCUCUGGGCAGUUCCUGACACUGAGGCACGAAGGCCAGGGGAGCAAACGGGAUUAGAUACCCCCGUAGUCCCUGUCUCUUAUAC
Molecule: ribosomal RNA, 301 nt
Filed under: uncultured bacterium
Lineage: Bacteria
Description: partial 16S ribosomal RNA
Rfam family: Bacterial small subunit ribosomal RNA
Source: RNAcentral